AGAGUUUGAUCAUGGCUCAGGAUGAACGCUAGCGGCAGGCCUAACACAUGCAAGUCGAGGGGCAGCACGUUAAAGAGUUUACUCUUUAUGGUGGCGACCGGCGGACGGGUGCGUAACGCGUAUGCAACCUGCCUGACACAGGGGGAUAAUCCGAAGAAAUUUGGUCUAAUACCCCAUAAUACCGAUAUAGGCAUCUAUGUUGGUUGAAAGCUUUGGUGGUGUCAGAUGGGCAGUGCGUUGUAUUAGCUAGUUGGUGAGGUAACGGGCUCACCAAGGCGACGAUACAUAGGGGGACUGAGAGGUUAACCCCCCACCACUGGUACUGAGACACGGACCAGACUCCUACGGGAGGCAGCA
This 357-nucleotide ribosomal RNA is filed under the name uncultured bacterium. RNAcentral describes it as "bacterial SSU rRNA". It matches the Rfam family "Bacterial small subunit ribosomal RNA", at positions 8 to 353 of the family's 1533-position model. The record is from RNAcentral.